RNAcentral lists this ribosomal RNA (1527 nucleotides) under Escherichia coli. Its description in RNAcentral is "partial 23S ribosomal RNA". It matches the Rfam family "Bacterial large subunit ribosomal RNA", at positions 1 to 1573 of the family's 2925-position model. The record is from RNAcentral. Lineage: Bacteria; Pseudomonadati; Pseudomonadota; Gammaproteobacteria; Enterobacterales; Enterobacteriaceae.
GGUUAAGCGACUAAGCGUACACGGUGGAUGCCCUGGCAGUCAGAGGCGAUGAAGGACGUGCUAAUCUGCGAUAAGCGUCGGUGAGGUGAUAUGAACCGUUAUAACCGGCGAUUUCCGAAUGGGGAAACCCAGUGUGUUUCGACACACUAUCAUUAACUGAAUCCAUAGGUUAAUGAGGCGAACCGGGGGAACUGAAACAUCUAAGUACCCCGAGGAAAAGAAAUCAACCGAGAUUCCCCCAGUAGCGGCGAGCGAACGGGGAGGAGCCCAGAGCCUGAAUCAGUGUGUGUGUUAGUGGAAGCGUCUGGAAAGGCGCGCGAUACAGGGUGACAGCCCCGUACACAAAAAUGCACAUAUUGUGAGCUCGAUGAGUAGGGCGGGACACGUGGUAUCCUGUCUGAAUAUGGGGGGACCAUCCUCCAAGGCUAAAUACUCCUGACUGACCGAUAGUGAACCAGUACCGUGAGGGAAAGGCGAAAAGAACCCCGGCGAGGGGAGUGAAAAAGAACCUGAAACCGUGUACGUACAAGCAGUGGGAGCCUCUUAAUGGGGUGACUGCGUACCUUUUGUAUAAUGGGUCAGCGACUUAUAUUCUGUAGCAAGGUUAACCGAAUAGGGGAGCCGAAGGGAAACCGAGUCUUAACUGGGCGUUAAGUUGCAGGGUAUAGACCCGAAACCCGGUGAUCUAGCCAUGGGCAGGUUGAAGGUUGGGUAACACUAACUGGAGGACCGAACCGACUAAUGUUGAAAAAUUAGCGGAUGACUUGUGGCUGGGGGUGAAAGGCCAAUCAAACCGGGAGAUAGCUGGUUCUCCCCGAAAGCUAUUUAGGUAGCGCCUCGUGAAUUCAUCUCCGGGGGUAGAGCACUGUUUCGGCAAGGGGGUCAUCCCGACUUACCAACCCGAUGCAAACUGCGAAUACCGGAGAAUGUUAUCACGGGAGACACACGGCGGGUGCUAACGUCCGUCGUGAAGAGGGAAACAACCCAGACCGCCAGCUAAGGUCCCAAAGUCAUGGUUAAGUGGGAAACGAUGUGGGAAGGCCCAGACAGCCAGGAUGUUGGCUUAGAAGCAGCCAUCAUUUAAAGAAAGCGUAAUAGCUCACUGGUCGAGUCGGCCUGCGCGGAAGAUGUAACGGGGCUAAACCAUGCACCGAAGCUGCGGCAGCGACACUAUGUGUUGUUGGGUAGGGGAGCGUUCUGUAAGCCUGUGAAGGUGGCCUGUGAGGGUUGCUGGAGGUAUCAGAAGUGCGAAUGCUGACAUAAGUAACGAUAAAGCGGGUGAAAAGCCCGCUCGCCGGAAGACCAAGGGUUCCUGUCCAACGUUAAUCGGGGCAGGGUGAGUCGACCCCUAAGGCGAGGCCGAAAGGCGUAGUCGAUGGGAAACAGGUUAAUAUUCCUGUACUUGGUGUUACUGCGAAGGGGGGACGGAGAAGGCUAUGUUGGCCGGGCGACGGUUGUCCCGGUUUAAGCGUGUAGGCUGGUUUUCCAGGCAAAUCCGGAAAACCAAGGCUGAGGCGUGAUGACGAG